UACGAAGGGGGCUAGCGUUGUUCGGAAUUACUGGGCGUAAAGCGCACGCAGGCGGAUUGAUAAGUCAGGGGUGAAAUCCCGGGGCUCAACCUCGGAAUUGCCUUUGAUACUGUCUGUCUUCGAGUUCGGGAGAGGUUGGCGGAAUUCCUAGUGUAGAGGUGAAAUUCGUAGAUAUUAGGAAGAACACCAGUGGCGAAGGCGGCCAACUGGCCCGAUACUGACGCUCAUGUGCGAAAACGUGGGGAGCAAACAGG
This 254-nucleotide ribosomal RNA is filed under the name uncultured bacterium. RNAcentral's name for it is "partial 16S ribosomal RNA". It matches the Rfam family "Bacterial small subunit ribosomal RNA", at positions 524 to 776 of the family's 1533-position model. The record is from RNAcentral.